This 983-nucleotide long non-coding RNA is filed under the name Equus caballus (horse). Its description in RNAcentral is "lncRNA (ENSECAG00000044920.1)". The record is from RNAcentral. Lineage: Eukaryota; Metazoa; Chordata; Mammalia; Perissodactyla; Equidae.
UGAUUUCAAAUGAUUUCAAAUCAUUUGAGCAGUAAUCUGCUUUUUGUUAAUCAAGGAUGUGUCUGUGGAACUGAGUGACAGUAUUAGCAAGUGAUCCAUCGUGUGGUAACACAGAACACGAGAGUUCUCACCGUAUGAUUCCAUGCGUAGCUUUGUCACAUAGAAUACAGAGUUCUCACUGUGUAGUUCCAAGCAGAUUUACAAAAACGAAAACAAAACUUGGCCGUUUUAUUUAACCUGGGAGGUCUUAUGCCAGCAAGCCUAUGAGAAAACUUUUGUGUGUAAGGAAAACUAAUUUACCCAAGGUAAUACAGUUAAUAGAGAGGAGUUUGGACUCAAAGCCAGAUCUCUGCAACUUCAAAAUUCAUCGAAACACUGUUGAAAGUGAGACCUGAUUGCAUGACUGGUUACAGUCGUUUAGAGCUGUCUGUCAAAAUAUUGAAGGAGAUUUUGGAGUCAGACAGAUCUGAAUUGUCCCACCAGCAGGGCCAAGCUUAACAUGAGGCAAACAAGAUGCCAAGAAGGCAACAUUUAAGAAGGCACGCCGAGUCAUGCAAGCAUUCAUAACCCUGAGACAGUUGCAGGAAGUACAUAACCAAGUGGAAACUAAAUUCCCAGAUUUCUGACUACAGAACCAAAAAUGGGAAACACAGGGAAAGCAUAGAAAGGGAACUUGAAAGUUACCUCAUAAAGUGGUUUAUAAACUCCUUGGCUUGCUCUGGAGAUGUGUCAGCAUGGAUCUGAUCCUAAACAUCAUCUAAAAUCUCUGAGAAUUGAGCUUUGAGAAAGACCACCAGAUUCCACCAAGCAGCACACAUAUGAGAAAAAUUCAAAUAGCACCACGAAGACUUUGAAAAUGGAACUGACUUCCAAACCAUAACCCAAAAAGGGUUUGUCUGAAUUGUGGCUGAAACAAAUUGGGUUGAUUCCUUGCUAAGAGAAAAAUAUCAAAAUUCUCCAUAAGAUUUAAACCAAAUCCAGAC